Molecule: ribosomal RNA, 2370 nt
Filed under: Triticum aestivum (bread wheat)
Lineage: Eukaryota; Viridiplantae; Streptophyta; Magnoliopsida; Poales; Poaceae
Description: partial small subunit ribosomal RNA
Source: RNAcentral
AUGGCCGAGGCGGCCUUCGCCCAUUUCGAGGCCUUGCUGGGCACGGCGACCGCCCGGGAGCACUCGCUGGACCUGUCACAGCUCAUUGAGCCGACCGACCUCGCCGACCUCGAUGCGCCGUUCAGCGCCGAGGAGAUUUGGGAGGCUGUCAAGCGCCUCCCCGCCCGCAAGGCGCCAGGCCCAGACGGGUUCACAGCAGAAUUCCUACGCGCAUGCUGGACUACCAUCAGGCAGGAUUUCCUUGACGUGUUCCAGCAACUUUAUGACCUGCGAGGAAGGGGGUUCUACAAGCUGAACCAAGCAUUGCUGACGCUGCUGCCAAAGAAAGCCGACACCCAUGGGCUGCGCGACUACCGGCCGAUCUGCCUGAUUCACCUUGUGGCCAAAAUCUUCGCCAAGGUGCUCUCGAUCCGCCUCGGUGCCAAGCUGGACAACCUGGUUAGCCGCAACCAAAAUGCUUUCAUCUCGGGAAGGAGCUUGCACGACAACUACGUCCUUGUCAAGCAGUCACUCAAGCUGCUGCACCAAUUGGGAGCUCCGAGAGUCAUGCUCAAGCUCGACCUCACGCGCGCCUUUGAUUCCCUGUCAUGGCCAUUCCUCUUUGAGGUUCUACACCAGUAUGGAUUCGGGAACAGAUUCUUGGAGUGGACGGCCAUCCUCCUGUCUUCUGCGAGCACACGCAUCCUCCUGAACGGCGAGCCCGGCCCACCCAUAUGGCACCGGCAAGGGCUCCGGCAGGGCGACUCCAUGUCCCCGCAGCUCUUCGUGCUCGCGGUCGACACCCUGGGACGGCUCCUACGACGCGCUCACUGCCUGGGCAUUCUGCUGCCGCUACACCCACAGCGCCACAUUCCGGCGAUCUCCCUCUACGCCGACGACGUCAUGGUCUUCUGCCACGCCACGGCGGAUGACACCACUGCGAUCAGGGAGAUCCUAGCCUUGUUCGGCAGGGCCUCCUGCCUGAAGGUGAACUUCACCAAGAGCUCCGCCACCAUCCUGCACGGCGACCAAGCAGACACGGAGAUGAUCGCGCACCUCGGCUGCCCGGUGGCGACUCUCCCCAUCACCUACCUCGGCAUCCCCAUGUCCACGCGCCGCCCAUCUGCCGCCCAGCUACAACCCAUGGUUGAUGCGGUUGCAGCGCGCCUACCGACCUGGAAGACCUGGCUGAUGACUAAAACCGGGCGCCUCGCGCUGGUUAAGUCGGUCUUGAGUGCCAUCCCAGUGCACCAACUGCUUGCGUUCGCGCCCCCCAAAAAAACUCUCAAGCAGAUCGAGAAGAUUCAGCGUGGUUUUCUUUGGGCUGGACGCGCCGCUGCCAAUGGCGGACACUGCCACGUGAACUGGAACAGAGUUUGCCGCCCCAUCGAGCUUGGGGGCCUGGGCGUGCGAGACCUCGAGCGCGCCGGUCUCGCCCUGCGACUACGCUGGUUAUGGUUCUCCAGAACGGACCCGGAGCGAGCAUGGCAGGGGUUGGACCUUCUAUUCUCGCCCACGGAACGUGCCCUGUUGUGGGCAUCCACGUUCACGCUCACGGGGAAUGGGCAGUCCACCCUGCUCUGGGAGGACCGAUGGAUAGGUGGCCAAUCCGUGCGCGAGCUCAUGCCUAACCUCUACGGCUGCAUCCCCAAGCGACGACGGAAGACGAGAACCGUGGCGGACGGACUCAAUGGCAACUCCUGGGCACACGACAUCCAAGGCACCCUCGGCCUCCACGAGAUUGGUCAGUAUCUGCAGCUCUGGCAGAUCAUGCAGCGCACUGAGCUCUCCACCACACCGGACAGGUUGACCUGGAGAUGGACGGCGAGUGGCAUCUACUCCGCGCAGUCCUGCUACACGGCCACCUUCCAUGGAUCAACGAGCUGUCAUUCCUGGAAGCUAAUCUGGAAGUGUUGGGCGCCGCCGCGGGUCAAGUUCUUCCACUGGUUAGCCAACCAGGACCGCUGCUGGACGGCAGAGAGGCUGGCGCGCCACGGUCUCCAGUAUCAUCCCCGCUGCCUCCUAUGUGACCAGCAACCGGAGACGAUGCGACAUCUGCUGCUGGAAUGCCCCCUAGCCCGACAGGCAUGGCACGAGACCCUGGCCUGGCUACGCAUACCGGCCCCGAUCCCAACACAGGAACUGUCGCUUACGGAUUGGUGGAACCAUGCCAAGGAAGACACGCCGCCGAUCCUUCGCAAGGCCCUGAAAUCUGUCGCGCUGCUCGUGCCUUGGAUGGUCUGGAAACACAGGAACAGCUGCGUCUUCGACAAUACGACUCCUUCUCUUAACAUGCUCUUAGAUAGCAUUCAGGACGAGGCCCGCUCAUGGGCGGCAGCUGGGGCACCUGGUCUCCGACUUGUGCUGCCCCAAACCUGGGAUGUGCAUUAA